Molecule: long non-coding RNA, 1826 nt
Organism: Culex pipiens pallens (northern house mosquito)
Lineage: Eukaryota; Metazoa; Arthropoda; Insecta; Diptera; Culicidae
Exons: 2
Source: RefSeq, a predicted model, not a curated record
UAUAUAUAUAUAUAUAUAUAUAUAUAUAUAAGUUACGGAAAUUGCUUUCCGCAUAAUUGAUCGACGCCAGCAACAUCGUCAGCACAGCCGGCAACAGUAACCCAAACUGCGAACAAAGCUAAACUUCGUUUACCUCGCCGCGAUUGAAGCAAGUAGCUCGAUUAAUGCUUUGCAAGCAAAACCUCAGUACCUCGUGUGUGAGGCUCUGGGGGACUUUUCGAUCACAAUAAAAUCAGAACGUUUUGGACCGUCAAACUCAUCACUUUGGAGUAAUUAAUUAAAAGAAACCACCCUUGCAUAAUGGGACCUUUAUAACUGGCGCAGUCGAGUCUUCGCCGGAAGGUGGCUGUGCCCAGUGAUUGAAGUGGUCGUUCGCGAAAAUCUCGGUAGUGAGACCGAAAGUACAAGUUAAUGCGAAAAACACGGCAGUUGUUCAUUCAGCAGAAAUUCGUCACCAACGGCUCUGGAGAUCAGGAGUGAAGCAGCCAAGGAAAUUACCUGGUGAAGCAGCCACCGACCGAAGAAGAUGAACCAACGUUAUCCGCUGGAUACUUCGGCAAGAGGCGUGAUACCAUCGUGUGCACAUCGCGAAAAACUCAGAACCGAGUUCAGGAGCGCAGCACGACACGGAUUUCAACACCUUCGACGAGGGAGACAAAGGAACAGCGUUACCCGGAUUUUCAACAAGCAACAAAAUUUAAAGUGAAAAAAAUCUAAAUUCAAAAUUCAAAAAUAUUUUUCCAAAUUUGAUAAGUUAAGUGAGUGUGUGUGUGAGUAAAAACAAAAUCAGCAAUUCGGAAAUCAUUUAAAUAAUUCAACAUGAUCAGAUUAACUAAUUUGACAAAAGGAAAAAACACGAUUCAAAAUUUAUUUUUUAGAAGGUGUGUGAGUGAUAAAAAAACAAAGAAAACCAUUUCAAAAUUAUGCAGCAAAAAAAAUUCAGUUAAUCGAGUGUGUUUGAAAUUGUUGUGAGGAAACAUUACAAUGAAAUAAUAGUUUGUUUGUAAUAGCUAAUUACAAAUCUCAAUUUGUAAUUCAGAGUUACAAAAGUGUAAUAAAUGAAGAUGUAAUUAAAGAUUACGUAAUCUUUGAUUACAAAUAUUUGUAACACUUAAUUACAAAACAGCAACAACUAUAAUGUUUCAAACAUCACCGAAUAAGCUUGAGAUAUUUCAAACUCGCUGAGUGACCUGUUUGGUAGUUCUUUCCGAUGGAAAAUUUAUGUGCAGUCGAUACGGAUCGGGACGAUCCUUUCUUGGUGAGGGAGCAGUUACGGAAAUUGUAAAGUAAGUAAAUCUUUCCCAGUUCCUGAGGGGAACACCCGUGAAGAGUAUCGGGGCCGGCAUUUACAAAGCGGAUUCAGUGGCAGUUUUUCACUCAACUAAUGUUAACAUGUUUAGGUUAAUGUUAACAUUCCAUAGGUCGCCUCCCUAAGGUGUCGUGAUAAGGUCCAGUUUGUGACGAUACACUACCUUCCCUUUACUAAGCAAUCGAAUCCAGAAGGGAAAAGAUCACCAGUUGUGUUGGUCCGAGCCGGGAUUUUAACCCCGAUCUACCGCUUACGAGGCGGAAGCGUUACCACUAGGCUACGUGGCUCGGUUACGGAAAUUGCUUUCCGCAUAAUUGAUCGACGCCACCAACAUCGUCAGCACAGCCGGCAACAGUAACCCAAACUGCGAACAAAGCUAAACUUCGUUUACCUCGCCGCGAUUGAAGCAAGUAGCUCAAUUAAUGCUUUGCAAGCAAAACCUCAGUACCUCGUGUGUGAGGCUCUGGGGGACUUUUCGAUCACAAUAAAAUCAGAACGUUUUGGACCGUCAAACUCA